This 491-nucleotide ribosomal RNA is filed under the name uncultured bacterium. RNAcentral describes it as "partial 16S ribosomal RNA". It matches the Rfam family "Bacterial small subunit ribosomal RNA", at positions 29 to 506 of the family's 1533-position model. The record is from RNAcentral.
AGUGAACGCUGGCGGUAGGCCUAACACAUGCAAGUCGAACGGCAGCACAGUAAGAGCUUGCUCUUACGGGUGGCGAGUGGCGGACGGGUGAGGAAUACAUCGGAAUCUACUUUUUCGUGGGGGAUAACGUAGGGAAACUUACGCUAAUACCGCAUACGACCUACGGGUGAAAGCAGGGGAUCUUCGGACCUUGCGCGAUUGAAUGAGCCGAUGUCGGAUUAGCUAGUUGGCGGGGUAAAGGCCCACCAAGGCGACGAUCCGUAGCUGGUCUGAGAGGAUGAUCGGCCACACUGGACCUGAGACACGGUCCAGACUCCUACGGGAGGCAGCGGUGGGGAAUAUUGGACAAUGGGCGCAAGCCUGAUCCAGCCAUACCGCGUGGGUGAAGAAGGCCUUCGGGUUGUAAAGCCCUUUUGUUGGGAAAGAAAAGCAGCAGGUUAAUACCCCGCUGUUCUGACGGUACCCAAAGAAUAAGCACCGGCUAACUUCGU